AGAGAUGUACUGGGCAUAAAGUGUGCGCAGGCGGUUUUGUAAGACAGAGGUGAAAUCCCCGGGCUCAACCUGGGAACUGCCUUUGUGACUGCAAGGCUGGAGUGCGGCAGAGGGGGAUGGAAUUCCGCGUGUAGCAGUGAAAUGCGUAGAUAUGCGGAGGAACACCGAUGGCGAAGGCAAUCCCCUGGGCCUGCACUGACGCUCAUGCACGAAAGCGUGGGGAGCAAACA
This 230-nucleotide ribosomal RNA is filed under the name uncultured Alicycliphilus sp. RNAcentral's name for it is "partial 16S ribosomal RNA". It matches the Rfam family "Bacterial small subunit ribosomal RNA", at positions 548 to 774 of the family's 1533-position model. Lineage: Bacteria; Pseudomonadati; Pseudomonadota; Betaproteobacteria; Burkholderiales; Comamonadaceae. The record is from RNAcentral.